GCUGUACCUAGCCCAAAAAACCAAAAUACAACUACAAUCACCAACUAAAACAAAACAUUUAACCAUCACCAAAAGUAUAGGAGAUAGAAAUUACAACAAGGCGCUAUAGAGAAAGUACCGUAAGGGAAUGAUGAAAGAACUAUUCCAAAGCACCAAACAGCAAAGAUUACCCCUUGUACCUUUUGCAUAAUGAUUUAACUAGAAUAACUUAGCAAAGAGACCUUAAGUUAAGCUCCCCGAAACCAGACGAGCUAUUCAUGAGCAGCUUCACAGAGCAAACUCAUCUAUGUAGCAAAAUAGUGAGAAGACUUAUGAAUAGAGGUGACAAGCCUACCGAGCCUGGUGAUAGCUGGUUGUCCAGAAAAGAACUUCAGUUCAACUUUAAGCCUACCUAAAAAUUUCCCUAAUUCAACUGUAGACUUAAAAUAUAGUCUAAAAAGGUACAGCCUUUUAGACAUAGGAUACAACCUUAACUAGAGAGUAAGUGUAACAAGCUAACCAUAGUUGGCCUAAAAGCAGCCACCAAUAAAGAAAGCGUUCAAGCUCAACAGUCCACCCCUCCUUAAUACCAAUAAUAAACACCAACUCCUAGCACCAAAACUGGACCAUUCUAUAAGUAUAUAGAAGAGAUACUGUUAAUAUAAGUAACAAGAAUUCUAUUCUCCCUAGCACAAGUGUAUAUCAGAACGAAUCCACACUGAUAGUUAACAUAAAUAAAGCCAAACCAAAUAACAAGUCCUUUAUUCCCUUAAUGUUAACCCAACACAGGAGUGCCCCAGGGAAAGAUUAAAAGGAGCGAAAGGAACUCGGCAAACACAAACCCCGCCUGUUUACCAAAAACAUCACCUCUAGCAUACUAAGUAUUAGAGGCACUGCCUGCCCAGUGACAUACGUUCAACGGCCGCGGUAUCCUGACCGUGCAAAGGUAGCAUAAUCACUUGUUCUCUAAAUAAGGACUUGUAUGAACGGCCACACGAGGGUUUCACUGUCUCUCGCUCCCAAUCAGUGAAAUUGACCUCCCCGUGAAGAGGCGGGGAUACAACAAUAAGACGAGAAGACCCUAUGGAGCUUUAAUUAAUUAGCCUAAGAACAAACACUUACAACCAACAAGGAAUAAAAAUCUUCCAAUAGGCUAACAAUUUAGGUUGGGGUGACCUCGGAGCAUAAAACAACCUCCGAGCAAUUACAAAUCUAAACCUACCAGUUAAGACUUCACCACUUAUUGAUCCAAAACUUUUGAUCAACGGAACAAGUUACCCUAGGGAUAACAGCGCAAUCCUAUUCAAGAGUCCCUAUCGACAAUAGGGUUUACGACCUCGAUGUUGGAUCAGGACACCCUAAUGGUGCAGCAGCUAUUAACGGUUCGUUUGUUCAACGAUUAAAGUCCUACGUGAUCUGAGUUCAGACCGGAGUAAUCCAGGUCGGUUUCUAUCUAUUUUACGUCUCUCCCAGUACGAAAGGACAAGAAAGACAAGGCCUCCUUAGACCUAAGCGCCUUCCAGCCCAACAGAUGAUAUAAUCUUAAUCUGAUACGCUAUAACCAUCAAACCCCUAGACACAGGGCUUAGUUAAAG
This 1574-nucleotide ribosomal RNA is filed under the name Lophostoma silvicola (D'Orbigny's round-eared bat). Its description in RNAcentral is "partial 16S ribosomal RNA". It matches the Rfam family "Bacterial large subunit ribosomal RNA". The record is from RNAcentral. Lineage: Eukaryota; Metazoa; Chordata; Mammalia; Chiroptera; Phyllostomidae.